This is a long non-coding RNA of Ipomoea nil (Japanese morning glory), 126 nucleotides long. RefSeq lists it as uncharacterized. The transcript has 3 exons. The record is from RefSeq and is a predicted model, not a curated record. NCBI's taxonomy places the organism in Eukaryota, Viridiplantae, Streptophyta, Magnoliopsida, Solanales, Convolvulaceae.
AUUUCCAAAUAUAUAUAGGGAUGUCAAUUGUACCCGCACCCAACGCGGAACCCGAUUCCCCGCCCCUACGGGGACGGGAAUGGGGACAAAAAUAGGGGAUCUGGGAUGGGGAUGGGGACAAUUUUG